RNAcentral lists this ribosomal RNA (303 nucleotides) under uncultured bacterium. RNAcentral's name for it is "bacterial SSU rRNA". It matches the Rfam family "Bacterial small subunit ribosomal RNA", at positions 355 to 672 of the family's 1533-position model. The record is from RNAcentral.
UGGGGAAUAUUGGGCAAUGGGCGCAAGCCUGACCCAGCAAUGCCGCGUGAAGGAAGAAGGCCCUCGGGUUGUAAACUUCUUUUAUCAGGGACGAAGGAUGUGACGGUACCUGAUGAAUAAGCUCCGGCUAACUACGUGCCAGCAGCCGCGGUAAUACGUAGGGAGCAAGCGUUAUCCGGAUUUACUGGGUGUAAAGGGCGCGUAGGCGGGAUGGCAAGUCAGAUGUGAAAUCCAGGGGCUCAACCCCUGAACUGCAUUUGAAACUGUCGUUCUUGAGUACUGGAGAGGUUGACGGAAUUCCUA